AGUGUAUAUUGCGCAAUUGGCGGAAGCCUGACGCAGCGACGCCGCGUGAGGGAUGAAGGUUUUCGGAUCGUAAACCUCUGUCAGAAGGGAAGAAACCGCACCGUGCUAAUCAGCCGUGCCUUGACGGUACCAUCACAGGGAGCACCGGCUACCCCCCUGCCAGCAGCCGCGGUAAUACGGAGGGUGCAAGCGUUAAUGGAAUUACUGGGCGUAAAGCGCACGUAGGCUGCUUUGUAAGUCAGGGGUGAAAUCCCACGGCUCAACCGUGGAACUGCCGUGGAUACUGCUUAGCUUGAAUCCGGGAGAGGGUGGCGGAAUUCCAGGUGUAGGAGUGAAAUCCGUAGAUAUCUGGAGGAACAUCAGUGGCGAAGGCGGCCACCUGGACCGGUAUUGACGCUGAGGUGCGAAAGCGUGGGGAGCAAACA
This 425-nucleotide ribosomal RNA is filed under the name uncultured Desulfovibrio sp. RNAcentral describes it as "bacterial SSU rRNA". It matches the Rfam family "Bacterial small subunit ribosomal RNA", at positions 356 to 774 of the family's 1533-position model. The record is from RNAcentral. Lineage: Bacteria; Pseudomonadati; Thermodesulfobacteriota; Desulfovibrionia; Desulfovibrionales; Desulfovibrionaceae.